This 473-nucleotide ribosomal RNA is filed under the name uncultured organism. RNAcentral describes it as "partial 16S ribosomal RNA". It matches the Rfam family "Bacterial small subunit ribosomal RNA", at positions 333 to 797 of the family's 1533-position model. The record is from RNAcentral.
ACACUCCUGCGGGAGGCAGCAGUGGGGAAUUUUGGACAAUGGGCGAAAGCCUGAUCCAGCAAUGCCGCGUGAGUGAAGAAGGCCUUCGGGUUGUAAAGCUCUUUUGUCAGGGAAGAAACGGUGAAAGCUAAUAUCUUUUGCUAAUGACGGUACCUGAAGAAUAAGCACCGGCUAACUACGUGCCAGCAGCCGCGGUAAUACGUAGGGUGCAAGCGUUAAUCGGAAUUACUGGGCGUAAAGCGUGCGCAGGCGGUUUUGUAAGUCUGAUGUGAAAUCCCCGGGCUCAACCUGGGAAUUGCAUUGGAGACGGCAAGGCUAGAAUCUGGCAGAGGGGGGUAGAAUUCCACGUGUAGCAGUGAAAUGCGUAGAUAUGUGGAGGAACACCGAUGGCGAAGGCAGCCCCCUGGGUCAAGAUUGACGCUCAUGCACGAAAGCGUGGGGAGCAAACAGGAUUAGAAACCCGGGUAGUCCCA